CGGAACGUACCAUUCAGUGGGGGAUAACGUAGCGAAAGUUACGCUAAUACCGCAUAUUCUGUGAGCAGGAAAGCAGGGGAUCGCAAGACCUUGCGCUGAUUGAGCGGCCGAUAUCAGAUUAGCUAGUUGGUGAGGUAAAAGCUCACCAAGGCGACGAUCUGUAGCGGGUCUGAGAGGAUGAUCCGCCACACUGGAACUGAGACACGGUCCAGACUCCCACGGGAGGCAGCAGUGGGGAAUUUUGGACAAUGGGGGCAACCCUGAUCCAGCCAUGCCGCGUGAGUGAAGAAGGCCUUCGGGUUGUAAAGCUCUUUCAGCCGGGAAGAAAAUGUAUGGGUUUAUACCCUGUGCAGAUGACGGUACCGGAAUAAGAAGCACCGGCUAACUACGUGCCAGCAGCCGCGGUAAUACGUAGGGUGCGAGCGUUAAUCGGAAUUACUGGGCGUAAAGCGUGCGCAGGCGGUUUUGUAAGGCAGGCGUGAAAUCCCCGGGCUUAACCUGGGAACUGCGUUUGUGACUGCAAGGCUAGAGUACGGCAGAGGGGGGUGGAAUUCCACGUGUAGCAGUGAAAUGCGUAGAGAUGUGGAGGAACACCAAUGGCGAAGGCAGCCCCCUGGGUCGAUACUGACGCUCAUGCACGAAAGCGUGGGUAGCAAACAGGAUUAGAUACCCUGGUAGUCCACGCCCUAAACGAUGUCAACUAGGUGUUGGGAGGGUAAAACCUUUUAGUACCGUAGCUAACGCGAGAAGUUGACCGCCUGGGGAGUACGGCCGCAAGGUUAAAACUCAAAGGAAUUGACGGGGACCCGCACAAGCGGUGGAUGAUGUGGAUUAAUUCGAUGCAACGCGAAAAACCUUACCUACCCUUGACAUGUCAGGAACUUUCCAGAGAUGGAUUGGUGCCCGAAAGGGAACCUGAACACAGGUGCUGCAUGGCUGUCGUCAGCUCGUGUCGUGAGAUGUUGGGUUAAGUCCCGCAACGAGCGCAACCCUUGUCGUUAAUUGCCAUCAUUUAGUUGGGCACUUUAACGAGACUGCCGGUGACAAACCGGAGGAAGGUGGGGAUGACGUCAAGUCCUCAUGGCCCUUAUGGGUAGGGCUUCACACGUCAUACAAUGGUCGGUACAAAGGGUCGCCAACCCGCGAGGGGGAGCCAAUCCCAUAAAGCCGAUCGUAGUCCGGAUUGCAGGCUGCAACUCGCCUGCAUGAAGUCGGAAUCGCUAGUAAUCGUGGAUCAGCAUGUCACGGUGAAUACGUUCCCGGGUCUUGUACACACCGCCCGUCACACCAUGGGAGCGGGUUCCGCCAGAAGUAGGUAGCCUAACCGCAAGGGGGGCGCUUACCA
This 1345-nucleotide ribosomal RNA is filed under the name metagenome. RNAcentral describes it as "bacterial SSU rRNA". It matches the Rfam family "Bacterial small subunit ribosomal RNA", at positions 119 to 1459 of the family's 1533-position model. The record is from RNAcentral.